This is a long non-coding RNA of Tachysurus fulvidraco (yellow catfish), 1647 nucleotides long. RefSeq lists it as uncharacterized. NCBI's taxonomy places the organism in Eukaryota, Metazoa, Chordata, Actinopteri, Siluriformes, Bagridae. The record is from RefSeq and is a predicted model, not a curated record. The transcript has 3 exons.
AUAAGAAUAGUGAAAUUUCACUGCCUUUUGGUUGCCAUCUUUACGGUUUUCCGCCGAUUAACGGUAUAGAUAAAUGCCCCGGAAGAUGCACCAUGGUAUUGGGAAGCCCUGUCUGAACCAGAUGGCAAAAGACGGCACUGUGUGGGUAGAGGAGAACAUUGGAAUGACCAGUGCAGUAGCAAAUCGCUCGUGCUUCACUGCGCAAGCUGGACCCACAGAGUCUUCUAAGCAUAAAAUUACAAGCGUGCUCCAAAGCUUCCUUUGCCCGUUAGACGUGGGAAUGCUGCAGACCAUCAGGGAGUGCGCGGUCCAUCAAGCCCGUAGAACAGAGCCAGACUGGAAUUUGACAAUUCACGAACUGAUGGCAUUCAUUUAAAUUCUUUUUGUAAGAGCAAUCAUGUGUCCCAUUGGUGCCAUUGUGGAUUGCUGGUCAGAAAGCUUUCUGGUGCCAGUAAUCAAAGAGACAAUCCCCCGAGAUAGAUUCCUUUCAAUUAUGCAACACCUUCGAUUUGAUGACAAGGACAGGUGGGCAGAACGGAUGAAAACAGACAAAUUUGCUGCGAUCUCCGACAUCUGGACACGCUUCACCAAGAACUGUGCUGAGAGUUUCACUCCAGGAGAACACAUGACCAUAGAUGAACAACUGUUCCCUACCAAGGUUCGUUGUCCAUUCACACAGUAUAUCGCAACCAAGCCAGACAAAUUUGGGAUCAAGUUCUGGAUGUCCACGGAUUUGGAGACCAAAUAUGUCUGCAAUGCAUCUCCUUACUUGGGAAAGGACCCCAGUCGUCAGAAGGAAGAGAGGCUGGCAGAGAGCGUAGAGAAAAUUGAUAACUGAUGGAGCCAUUUUUGAAUGAUAGCAGAAAUGUCACGACAGACAAUAUCUUUACUUCAAAGUCACUGGCGAACAGACUGCUGCAGUGCAAAACAAUGCUACUGGGCACGGUGAAUAAAGUCUGUCGUGAGCUCCCACCACUUGCAAAAGACAGUGCACAUCGAGAGGUAUUCUCCACUUCAGUGCUUAGAAGUGGCAGUGUCUCCUUGACAAUUUAUGCACCGAAAAAAACAAGACUGUGUGUGUUCUGAGUUCCACGCACCAAGACGUGAUGAUCGGUGACGGCAGAAAGAGGAAACCCAACACGAUAACAGACUAUAACCACAUGAAGAUGUGUUGGACCAAAUAGCGCGGAUGUAUUCUGUAAGAGCAGCAACACUCAGGUGGCCAGUAGCAGUUUUUUACAAUCUGCUGGACUUGGCGGCGGUGAAUGCCUACAUUUUGUACAAGGCAUGUAGAGGGUGGACAGGCAAAAGAAGAUUGUUUCUGAGGCUUCUUGCUAAGGAACUUUGUUGCCGAUUCAUGCAGCACAAGGAGAUACUGUAUUGGCACAGAGGCAGGCUGCUGAAGCUUCUGCAGUUGCUGUGCCAGGGAAGGUACAGACAAUGCAGUUCCAGGUGCAAGAGAGCUGCAACAGGAAUCGCAGCAGGUUUACCUGUGCAACAUGUGAAAAAUUCACCUGUGCCAAAUGCAGGGACAAUGGACACUGGGUCUGCAAACGCUGUAAAGUGUGAAACACUUUCAAAUAAAACAGACUUGUGUAUCCAUAGGGGGCACGGUGGCUUAGUGGGUAGCACGUUCGCCUCACACCU